UUAACUGUUGAAUGACUGGAUAGGUGAGGCCCUGCUAAUGCCAAGUGGCGGUGAGAGGCUCUACCUAUGAUUUGGCUUAUGACGUAGCUGCCACAGACGUGGUGACGGUAAAGAGAAAUCAAAACGUGUGGCCGUGACAGGUGAGGCCCUAACUAGAGCCCUGUAGUAGGGCAUGCAAGGCUUAUAACUAUGAUUUGGGCGUGGGUCCGUACCUCCGUG
Non-coding RNA from Pelobates cultripes (western spadefoot toad), 219 nucleotides. The record is from the annotation of a GenBank genome assembly. NCBI's taxonomy places the organism in Eukaryota, Metazoa, Chordata, Amphibia, Anura, Pelobatidae.